RNAcentral lists this ribosomal RNA (254 nucleotides) under uncultured bacterium. RNAcentral describes it as "partial 16S ribosomal RNA". It matches the Rfam family "Bacterial small subunit ribosomal RNA", at positions 524 to 776 of the family's 1533-position model. The record is from RNAcentral.
UACGUAGGGGGCGAGCGUUGUCCGGAUUCAUUGGGCGUAAAGCGCUUUAAGGCGGUUCGCUAAGUCGCGUGUGAAAACUCCAGGCUCAACCUGGAGACGCCACGUGAUACUGGCGUGACUAGAGUUCGGUAGGGGAUCACGGAAUUCCUGGUGUAGCUGUGAAAUGCGCAGAUAUCAGGAGGAACACCGGUGGCGAAGGCGGCUUCCUGGACACUAACUGACGCUGAGACGCGAAAGCGUGGGGAGCAAACAGG